GACGAACGCUGGCGGCGUGCUUAACACAUGCAAGUCGAACGAUGAACCCAGAGCUUGCUCCGGUGGAUUAGUGGCGAACGGGUGAGUAACACGUGAGUAACCUGCCCUUGACUCUGGGAUAACUGCGGGAAACUGUAGCUAAUACCGGAUACGACCCUCGGCGGCAUCGCCAGGGGUGGAAAGAAUUUCGGUCAAGGAUGGACUCGCGGCCUAUCAGCUAGUUGGUGAGGUAACGGCUCACCAAGGCGACGACGGGUAGCCGGCCUGAGAGGGUGACCGGCCACACUGGGACUGAGACACGGCCCAGACUCCUACGGGAGGCAGCAGUGGGGAAUAUUGCACAAUGGGCGCAAGCCUGAUGCAGCAACGCCGCGUGAGGGAUGACGGCCUUCGGGUUGUAAACCUCUUUUAGUAGGGAAGAAGCGAAAGUGACGGUGCCUGCAGAAAAAGCACCGGCUAACUACGUGCCAGCCGCCGCCGUAA
This 483-nucleotide ribosomal RNA is filed under the name uncultured bacterium. Its description in RNAcentral is "partial 16S ribosomal RNA". It matches the Rfam family "Bacterial small subunit ribosomal RNA", at positions 28 to 523 of the family's 1533-position model. The record is from RNAcentral.